Ailuropoda melanoleuca (giant panda) is the source of this 684-nucleotide long non-coding RNA. RefSeq lists it as uncharacterized. The record is from RefSeq and is a predicted model, not a curated record. Lineage: Eukaryota; Metazoa; Chordata; Mammalia; Carnivora; Ursidae. The transcript has 3 exons.
CUGGGCUGUGUGGCCCUUGAGUGUCAAACGAAGGAACAAACGUGUGAAGCUCUGGCGGGUUCCAGGCCUGUUUACUCCGCACAGUACCUGGUAGUCUCAUGGAUCAUUGACGUUUGUUGGCGUAUACGUCACUCGACAAAGCUAAUUCCGUUGUAUUGCUGCAAUGGAUAUAGAGUCCAAGAGGAACUCUCAAAAUCCAGGAAAAUAAGACCAAAUCAGUGUUAAAGGGAAUUCAGUCGGGUGGAUGGGAUGUUGUAACACCAUUCUCUGAGUUCUUGUGAUAUUCUGACUGAUGGUUGGCAGCAUGUUGGUUCCAGGUGGUCUGUCUGGGUGAAGUAGCACCCUUUCCAAAGGAUCUAGCCUCUUGGCUAGGCAGGAUUGCGUAUACAUAUCAAGGACGUGAGCUCUUCGAUCACACAACCCAUCUUGCUUUGACUGGACCUGAUUUGACAUGGAUUUGACUGCAGUCGAGAGUCCUGAUUAAUACAGCAUUGAAGAAAAUAUUGGGGGAAAGGAAGAAGGAAGAGGCAUUUUAUGAAUGAGAGCAACAUGGGAGAACCUACCACACGUAACCUAAAUUGCUUAAGUAGUAAUAACUACUAUUAUGUUUUUCUCAAGUUUUCUGCACAACAGCUAAUUUCAUUUAAAAAAUAUACAUUAGGGGCACCUGGGUGGCUGAGUCGG